RNAcentral lists this ribosomal RNA (703 nucleotides) under uncultured Bacteroidota bacterium. Its description in RNAcentral is "bacterial SSU rRNA". It matches the Rfam family "Bacterial small subunit ribosomal RNA", at positions 160 to 864 of the family's 1533-position model. Lineage: Bacteria; Pseudomonadati; Bacteroidota. The record is from RNAcentral.
GGAUUAAUACCCCGUAACAUAACCGAGUGGCAUCACUUGGUUAUUAUAGCUUCGGCGCUAAAUGAUGGGUGUGCGUAUGAUUAGAUAGUUGGCGAGGUAACGGCUCACCAAGUCUACGAUCAUUAGCUGAUGUGAGAGCAUGAUCAGCCACACGGGCACUGAGACACGGGCCCGACUCCUACGGGAGGCAGCAGUAAGGAAUAUUGGUCAAUGGACGCAAGUCUGAACCAGCUAUGCCGCGUGAAGGAUUAAGGUCCUCUGGAUUGUAAACUUCUUUUAUCUGGGACGAAAAAAGGUCUUUCUAGACCCCUUGACGGUACCAGAUGAAUAAGCACCGGCUAACUCCGUGCCAGCAGCCGCGGUAAUACGGAGGGUGCAAGCGUUAUCCGGAUUCACUGGGUUUAAAGGGUGCGUAGGCGGGCAGGUAAGUCAGUGGUGAAAUCCUGGAGCUCAACUCCAGAACUGCCAUUGAUACUAUCUGUCUUGAAUAUUGUGGAGGUAAGCGGAAUAUGUCAUGUAGCGGUGAAAUGCUUAGAUAUGACAUAGAACACCCAUUGCGAAGGCAGCUUACUACGCAUAUAUUGACGCUGAGGCACGAAAGCGUGGGGAUCAAACAGGAUUAGAUACCCUGGUAGUCCACGCCCUAAACGAUGGAUACUCGACAUACGCGAUACACUGUGUGUGUCUGAGCGAAAGCAUUAAG